Molecule: ribosomal RNA, 369 nt
Filed under: uncultured Leptolinea sp.
Lineage: Bacteria; Bacillati; Chloroflexota; Anaerolineae; Anaerolineales; Anaerolineaceae
Description: bacterial SSU rRNA
Rfam family: Bacterial small subunit ribosomal RNA
Source: RNAcentral
AGGAACCGAAAGGCGACCGACCUUCGGGAGCUUGCACAGGUGCUGCAUGGCUGUCGUCAGCUCGUGUCGUGAGAUGUUCGGUUAAGUCCGCUAACGAGCGCAACCCUCGCUGUGUGUUACAAGUGUCACACGGUACUGCCGGUCUUAAGCCGGAGGAAGGUGGGGAUGACGUCAAGUCAGCAUGGCCUUUAUGUCCUGGGCUACACACACGCUACAAUGGCCAACACAAUAGGUUGCUAAGCCGCGAGGUGGAGCCAAUCCUCAAAGUUGGUCUCAGUUCAGAUUGCAGGCUGCAACCCGCCUGCAUGAAGAUGGAGUUGCUAGUAACCGCAGGUCAGCUAUACUGCGGUGAAUACGUUCCCGGGGCUU